RNAcentral lists this ribosomal RNA (669 nucleotides) under Triticum aestivum (bread wheat). RNAcentral's name for it is "partial small subunit ribosomal RNA". Lineage: Eukaryota; Viridiplantae; Streptophyta; Magnoliopsida; Poales; Poaceae. The record is from RNAcentral.
AUGAUAGAUGGUUGGAGGACUGUGAUGCCACUGCUUCUUUCACCGCCCAAAAUACAGUGCAUGCAUCUUUGUCAUGCGAUUGCAUUGGUGCAUAGAGACUUGAAUGAGGCAGACACAUACAGUUGGCCGGCGUCUACUACUGCGAGCUACUCGGCCAAGUCGGUCUAUGACUACCUUUGCUCGAACCUCUCGAGAUCUCCGACGGCGGCAUGUAUUUGGAGGAGCUGGGCGCCGCUUAAGUGCAAAUUGUUUGUUUGGUUGGCUUUGCAGAACAAGUUGUGGAUGUCGGAUCGACGGGCACGUCAUGGGCUUCAGGACCAAGCAUCGCCCUGCUUCACGUGCCCGCAAGCGGAAGACAAUGUCGACCAUAUCUGGCCAAGUGCACCUUUGCUCAGGAAGUAUGGCACCGCGUGUUUGACCUGCUCAGGCUCAACGUGCAAGGGACGACGCAAAAUGACACUUUCUCAGUUUUGGUGGCUGAGGGAGAGGAAGAAGUUCAGGGGAGCGGAUAGGAGAGGCUUCGAUACUCUGAUGACCGCGAUGGCUUGGACACUAUGGGAGCAAAGCAACGCCAGGAUCUUCAAUGGACAAGAUCAACAGAAGCCGGCACUCCUCGUCCCUAACCUUGGGCUUGGUGUAGGAGGUCUACAACGAUUUGUAAGGAGUUAA